This 368-nucleotide long non-coding RNA is filed under the name Sorghum bicolor (sorghum). RNAcentral's name for it is "long non-coding RNA (SBIC_LNC018176)". Lineage: Eukaryota; Viridiplantae; Streptophyta; Magnoliopsida; Poales; Poaceae. The record is from RNAcentral.
UGGCCUUAGGGUUGCCCUUUGUCUUGUCAAGAAUGUCCAUGAGUGUGUGUCCAAAGUGCUUCAGUGAUAUUCUUCUCAGUGUAUAUUACAUCUAUGUUACGUGGAAGGCGAAGGUCAUCAAAAUAGGGAAGCCUCUCCAAUCCUAAUUUAAAAAAAUGUGAACAAGGAGUUUUAAAUUUCUCCAAAUUUGAACAAAGAGUUUUAAAUAAUGUGAGAAGGUCUCAGAAAAAUAGGGCAAAAAACCAAAAAAUAAAAAAAUUUCCCCGAGUGCCUUCCCUGGCGCUCUUGGGGAAGAGACCCUUCCCCGAGUGCGAGGACAGAGCACUCAGUGCGAGGACAGAGCACUCAGAAAAGCCGGCCUUUUCCCC